GGGCGUUUAGCUCAGUGGUAGAGCGUUUCGUUGACAUCGAAAAGGCCAUAGGUUCGAUCCCUAUAACGCCCA
This 72-nucleotide transfer RNA is filed under the name bacterium. Its description in RNAcentral is "tRNA-Val". It matches the Rfam family "tRNA". From Rfam's summary of the family: Transfer RNA (tRNA) molecules are approximately 80 nucleotides in length. Their secondary structure includes four short double-helical elements and three loops (D, anti-codon, and T loops). Further hydrogen bonds mediate the characteristic L-shaped molecular structure. tRNAs have two regions of fundamental functional importance: the anti-codon, which is responsible for specific mRNA codon recognition, and the 3' end, to which the tRNAs corresponding amino acid is attached (by aminoacyl-tRNA synthetases). tRNAs cope with the degeneracy of the genetic code in two manners: having more than one tRNA (with a specific anti-codon) for a particular amino acid; and 'wobble' base-pairing, i.e. permitting non-standard base-pairing at the 3rd anti-codon position. The record is from RNAcentral.